UCCUAGUACGGCGAGUGACCGGGAAGAGCUCAAAUUUGAAAUCUGGCGUGCUCAGUGCGUCCGAGUUGUAAUCUAUAGAGGCGUUUUCCGUGCCGGACUGUGUCUAAGUCCCUUGGAACAGGGUAUCAAAGAGGGUGAUAAUCCCGUACUUGACACAAUGACCGGUGCUCUGUGAUACGUCUUCUACGAGUCGAGUUGUUUGGGAAUGCAGCUCAAAAUGGGUGGUGAGUUCCAUCUAAAGCUAAAUAUUGGCGAGAGACCGAUAGCGAACAAGUACCGUGAGGGAAAGAUGAAAAGCACUUUGGAAAGAGAGUUAAACAGUACGUGAAAUUGUUGAAAGGGAAACGAUUGAAGUCAGUCGUGACUGAGAGGCUCAGCCGGUUCUGCCGGUGUAUUCCCCUCAGUCGGGUCAACAUCAGUUUUGUUCGGUGGAUAAGGGCAGCUGGAAGGUGGCACCUCCGGGUGUGUUAUAGCCAGCUGUCGCAUACAUCGAAUGAGACUGAGGAAUGCAGCUCGCCUUUAUGGCCGGGGUUCGCCCACGUCCGAGCUUAGGAUGUUGACAUAAUGGCUUUAAACGACCCGUCUAAAAC
This 590-nucleotide ribosomal RNA is filed under the name Papiliotrema terrestris. RNAcentral's name for it is "partial large subunit ribosomal RNA". It matches the Rfam family "Eukaryotic large subunit ribosomal RNA", at positions 78 to 660 of the family's 3401-position model. The record is from RNAcentral. Lineage: Eukaryota; Fungi; Basidiomycota; Tremellomycetes; Tremellales; Rhynchogastremaceae.